GACGAACGCUGGCGGCGUGCUUAACACAUGCAAGUCGAACGGAGUGGCGAACGGGUGAGUAAUACGUGGGGGAUCUGCCUUGGACUGCGGGAUAAGCUUGGGAAACUGAGGCUAAUACCGGAUAGUGCAAGAUGAGCUCGCGGCCGAUCAGCUUGUUGGUGGGGUAAUGGCCUACCAAGGCGUCGACGGGUAGCCGGCCUGGGAGGGUGUACGGCGACAUGGGGACUGAGCUAGGCCCCAGAUUCGUACGGGAGGCAGCAGUGGGGAAUAUUGCACAAUGGUCGGAAGCCUGUUGCAGCGACGCCGCGUGGGGGAUGAAGGCUUUGGGGUUGUAAACUCCUUUCGACAGGGACGCGGUACCUGUAUAAGAAGCACCGGCUAACUACGUGCCAGCAGCCGCGGUAAUAC
RNAcentral lists this ribosomal RNA (408 nucleotides) under uncultured bacterium. RNAcentral describes it as "partial 16S ribosomal RNA". It matches the Rfam family "Bacterial small subunit ribosomal RNA", at positions 28 to 526 of the family's 1533-position model. The record is from RNAcentral.